Long non-coding RNA from Oncorhynchus kisutch (coho salmon), 2459 nucleotides. RefSeq lists it as uncharacterized. Lineage: Eukaryota; Metazoa; Chordata; Actinopteri; Salmoniformes; Salmonidae. The record is from RefSeq and is a predicted model, not a curated record. The transcript is spliced from 3 exons.
CUUCCCUCUCUUUCCCUCCUUAAGGUUCUGCCCUAUUGUACAAACAGGUGGGCGGUUUCUACAAGCAUUAUAAGAGUGAAAGGACGUUCCAGCUUCUGCAAUACAAGCGCAAAGAGACGUCUGCAGGUAAACUGACAGCCAAUAUCCUGCCCAUUUAUCCAAGGAGGCGCUGUAGGGUUUUACAACAAGUUGAGAAGAUCAUAGGAAUACCGUAGUCCCCAUAUCCAGUCGUGAAAAGGAAAUGCAUACAUCUUUGCCCGUGGCCGUUUAGAAACGUUCCCUUCAUUUGCUGCUGCGGUUUACGGUGCGCCAUAUGGGACCUUUACUAACAGAUAUGCCGCUGGUGGCAUCCUUCGUCGACUCGCGAUCAGAAGGCAGCGGCACGUCUUUCUCCGGUGAGGACUGCCCAAGCCCAUCUGAAUCGGAGAGAGGAGGACAGAAAGGAGUGUGUGUGGACCGGAGAGGUAAAAGAAGAGUGAAGAACAGAGACGCUGCCAGGAAGAGCAGGAAAAAACAGACGGAGAGAGCAGACAUUCUCCACCAGGAUCUACAGACCUUGGAAGCUCUAACUCAGCUCUAGAGAAGGAGAUUGCUGGUCUGAGAAGAGAGUUCCGGCUCUACACAGCCACCCUUGAGCAACAUGAAUCUGCCUGCACCCUCCGGCCCUCGUCUAUACCCGCCAAUAUCCCCUGCUGCCAGAUCCUGUCCCCUCCGCGUCAUCUAUUGCCCCUGUGACUACCCCUGCACCCGCUGUGUCCACUCAAACUACCCCGGCCACCCGCUGUGUCCCCUCAAACUACCCCGGCACCCGCUGUGUCCCCUCAAACUACCCCGGCACCCGCUGUGUCCCCUCAAACUACCCCGGGCUCUCUUCUUGCCCCAGUACCUGGAGGGCAGAGGACUUGUUUACCACUCCCCACUCUCGUCACUGCUCCUUCAAUUGCCCAUGUGACUAACCCCUACCCUUUUGCUUUCCACUCUGUAUUCCCCAAUAUUUAAUAAUGCCUCUCUGAUUGCCCCAAACAAUAUUUGUUCCUCUCCAAUUACCCCAAAAACUAAUAUUUCCCCUCUAACUACCUCGAUAAAUAAUCUUGCCCAUCCAACUACCCCAAUAACUAAUCUUGCCCCUCCAACUAUCCCUGCUCCUACUCUGUCACCCAUCUCCUACCCUCUGACCAUGUACCCUCUGAACUUGUCUACCCCAGCCAUUGAACCCCCAAUAGAAUUGUCCCUCUCCGACAUCCUGGACAGUCCUGAUUGGCUCUGCGACCCUGCAUCACACACCUGGGGCGAGUUCUAAUGGACCAAUGACACUGUUUGGCGAAUGGUUGAAAGCAGCUGGUGGUUGCUCGGCCCUAUUGCCUCUGACCACAGAACAUCAGUACUGAUUUUCUGGCAAUUUUCUGACGAAUCUCCACGUUGAAUCUCCACUGUCCAUCGACAGACAACCACUAGGUGAUCUACAGCCAACGUCUGUGAUGAUGUGUCUUUCACGGAGUAAGAUUCCUGGCACCCUGUGAAAGACUCAUUUAGGUUUCUGUAGAAAAGAACAGAAAGACACUUAAAAUUGAUUCUGUAGCUGUUAUGUUGAUUCACGGUUUGUGUUUUUGAAUAACCGGCCCUGUUCAUUGGUCAUAACAGACUAUUGGCCCUGAUCAUUGGUCAUAACAGACUAUUGGCCCUGAUCAUUGGUCAUAACAGACCUAUUGGCCCUGUUCAUUGGUCAUAACUGACUAUUGGCCCUGUUCAUUGGUCAUAACAGUACUAUUGGCCCUGUUCAUUUGGUCAUAACAGACUAUUGGCCCUGUUCAUUGGUCAUAACAGACUAUUGGCCCUGAUCAUUGGUCAUAACAGACUAUUGGCCCUGUUCAUUGGUCAUAACAGACUAUUGGCCCUGUUCAUUGGUAAUAACAGACUAUUGGCCCUGUUCAUUGGUCAUAACAGACUAUUGGCCCUGUUCAUUGGUCAUAACAGGACUAUUGGCCCUGAUCAUUGGUCAUAACAGACUAUUGGCCCUGUUCAUUGGUCAUAAACAGACUAUUGGCCCUGAUCAUUGGUCAUAACAGACUAUUGGCCCCUGAUCAACUUCUUUGAGAGUAGAAUAAUUGAUUGAUUGAUUGUAAUAAUCUUUUUAACUCUUCGUUAGAACCUCACAUAUUGAGUUAAUUUAUUUGUGCAUAAAAUCAACAAUUCAAUGACUUUCAAACCUUUUUAAGUGUGAUUUUAAUUCAUUGUAAAAAGCUGCAAAUGUAUUGAACAGGCUAUAGACAAAACGAAUAUCAUAUGACUAUAUUUGGAAAACCACAUCUCGUACAAUAUAAACUACGUCUUAUAUUCAAAAUAUCCCAGAUUUAGGUUUAAACACAGGAUAUACAGGUAACUGCCAAAAUAAUGGAAACUCCAACAUAAAGUGUCUUAAUGAGACGUUGGGGCCGCCGCCAGAACAGAUGCAUCUUGGG